Triticum aestivum (bread wheat) is the source of this 115-nucleotide non-coding RNA. Lineage: Eukaryota; Viridiplantae; Streptophyta; Magnoliopsida; Poales; Poaceae. The record is from Rfam.
CUUGUACUCCCUCCGUCCGAAAAUACUUGUCAUUGAAAUGGAUGUAUCUAGAUGUAUUUUAGUUCUAGACACAUCCAUUUUGAUGACAAGUAAUUCCGGACGGAGGGAGUACUUU